Molecule: unclassified non-coding RNA, 403 nt
Filed under: Hevea brasiliensis (rubber tree)
Lineage: Eukaryota; Viridiplantae; Streptophyta; Magnoliopsida; Malpighiales; Euphorbiaceae
Source: RNAcentral
UCCAAAUCAAAGGUAUCAAUAUUAAGCUAAAAAUGAGAUUUUUAAGCUAAAAUCAAGAAAAAACCUUACUCAUCUCUAAUCUGAAACAGACCCUUUACUCAAAAACACAAAAUCAACAAGAAAAAUUGAAUCUUGAAGUUGAUAAACACUGUAUAAAGAAUAUAAGACUAAAGAUACAUAUAUAACAAUGAGAUUUAGAGGGGAAAAGGGUUAACUUAAAUUACCUUCAAAACCCUCAAAUUUCAGUAGCAGAAAAGAUUGGAUCUUGAAUAAAAAUUCAAUCUUUAUGAAGAAAAAUUGGAUCUUGAGGAGGGUUUGUAAAAAAAGAGUUCUUUUCUGAAGAAAUGAAAAAUGGGGAUUAAACUAUUAAGCAGACAAAUGGAACAGAUCUGUGUAGAUUUUG